AAAGAUUAAGCCAUGCAUGUCUAAGUGCAAGCCGAAUUAAGGUGAAACCGCGAAAGGCUCAUUAAAUCAGCUAUGAUUCAUUAGAUGGUACUUACAGUUACUUGGAUAACUGUGGCAAUUCUAGAGCUAAUACAUGCGAAUUUAGUUCCGGACGCUUAGCAGGCGGCCGGGAUGCUUUUAUUAGAUCAAAACCAAUCGGACUCGAACGAGUCCGUCAAGUUUUGGUGACUCUGGAUAACCAUUUUAGCUGAUCGCACGGUCUCGUACCGGCGAUGCAUCUUUCAAAUGUCUGACUUAUCAACUUUCGAUGGUAGGCUCUGCGCCUACCAUGGUGAUAACGGGUAACGGGGAAUCAGGGUUCGAUUCCGGAGAGGGAGCCUGAGAAACGGCUACCACAUCCAAGGAAGGCAGCAGGCGCGCAAAUUACCCACUCCCGGCACGGGGAGGUAGUGACGAAAAAUAACGAUGCAGAACUCUAUCCGAGGCUCUGCAAUCGGAAUGAGCACACUCUAAAUCUUUUAACGAGUAUCCAUUGGAGGGCAAGUCUGGUGCCAGCAGCCGCGGUAAUUCCAGCUCCAAUAGCGUAUAUUAAAGGUGUUGCGGCUAAAAAGCUCGUAGUUGGAUCUGUGUUUCGCGAUGUCGGUUCACCGCCCGUCGGUGUUUAACUGACAUGCCGCGGUACGUCAUGCCGGUUGGCGGAGCGGGGUUUUCUCUCGCUUGUUCUCGUCUCGCCCUCCCCCGCGCCUUUCGCAAAAGGAGGCCGGGGCUCAGGGGAGAGAGGCUCGCGGGGGAAAGCUUCGGGCCGGCCGCUGUGGGAGGCGAGCGGUUCGCCGCCGUCCCGCCGACGUGUCUCGAUCGCCGGAGAAACCCUCCGCUUCGAUGGAGAUCGCUCGUGCGGGCGAGCGAGCGGCCGCCGUUUCUCGGUCCGGUUGUUGUCCUUCCCUCGCGGGGGGCACCGCGCCGAUCCGCGUCCGCCAGUUUCGGUAAACCCUGUCGCGAUGCUCUUAAUCGGGUGUCGCGGCGGGCCGGCACGUUUACUUUGAACAAAUUUGAGUGCUUCAAGCAGGCCAGAGCCGCCGGAAAAUCGUGUGCAUGGAAUAAUGGAAUAGGGCCACGGUUCUAUUUUGUUGGUUUCCGGAAUCCGAGGCAAUGAUUAACAGGGACAGGCGGGGGCAUUAGUAUUGCGGCGUUAGAGGUGAAAUUCUUGGAUCGUCGCAAGACUAACUAGAGCGAAAGCAUUUGCCAAGGAUGCUUCCAUUAAUCAAGAACGAAAGUUAGAGGUUCGAAGGCGAUCAGAUACCGCCCUAGUUCUAACCGUAAACCAUGUCAGCCAGCAAUCCGUCGAAGUUCCUCCGAUGACUCGACGGGCAGCUUCCGGGAAACCAAAGCUUUUGGGUUCCGGGGGAAGUAUGGUUGCAAAGCUGAAACUUAAAGGAAUUGACGGAAGGGCACCACCAGGAGUGGAGCUUGCGGCUUAAUUUGACUCAACACGGGAAACCUCACCAGGCCCGGACACUGGAAGGAUUGACAGAUUGAGAGCUCUUUCUUGAUUCAGUGGGUGGUGGUGCAUGGCCGUUCUUAGUUGGUGGAGCGAUUUGUCUGGUUAAUUCCGAUAACGAACGAGACUCUAGCCUGUUAACUAGGCGAAAACAAUUCCGUCAUCAUUUCAAAAAAGCUGACGGCGGCGUAAUUUCUUCUUAGAGGGACAGGCGGCUUCUAGCCGCACGAGAUUGAGCAAUAACAGGUCUGUGAUGCCCUUAGAUGUUCUGGGCCGCACGCGUGCUACACUGAAGGAAUCAACGUGUCACGAGUCCUAGGCCGAUAGGCCCGGGAAACCCGUUGAACUUCCUUCGUGCUAGGGAUUGGGGCUUGCAAUUGUUUCCCAUGAACGAGGAAUUCCCAGUAAGCGCGAGUCAUAAGCUCGCGUUGAUUACGUCCCUGCCCUUUGUACACACCGCCCGUCGCUACUACCGAUUGAACGAUUUAGUGAGGUCUUCGGACCUGUACGCGGGAGUCGCCCUUCGGCGACUUCCGAUGCUGCGGGAAAGACGACCGAACUUGAUCGUUUAGAGGA
RNAcentral lists this ribosomal RNA (2074 nucleotides) under Degeeriella fulva. RNAcentral describes it as "SSU rRNA". It matches the Rfam family "Eukaryotic small subunit ribosomal RNA". Lineage: Eukaryota; Metazoa; Arthropoda; Insecta; Psocodea; Philopteridae. The record is from RNAcentral.